This 96-nucleotide signal recognition particle RNA is filed under the name Hyphomicrobiales bacterium. Its description in RNAcentral is "signal recognition particle sRNA small type". It matches the Rfam family "Bacterial small signal recognition particle RNA". From Rfam's summary of the family: The signal recognition particle (SRP) is a universally conserved ribonucleoprotein involved in the co-translational targeting of proteins to membranes. Archaeal SRP consists of a 7S RNA and homologues of the eukaryotic SRP19 and SRP54 proteins. The record is from RNAcentral. Lineage: Bacteria; Pseudomonadati; Pseudomonadota; Alphaproteobacteria; Hyphomicrobiales.
AGAAGUUGGUAUUGGACGUAGUUGUCGCCAAUCGGGUCAGGUCCGGAAGGAAGCAGCCCCAACGAUUUUUUUACGGGUCAAGAACUGACUUCUCAC